This 886-nucleotide ribosomal RNA is filed under the name uncultured archaeon. RNAcentral describes it as "bacterial SSU rRNA". It matches the Rfam family "Archaeal small subunit ribosomal RNA", at positions 1 to 894 of the family's 1478-position model. The record is from RNAcentral.
UUUCCGGUUGAUCCUGCCGGAGGCCACCGCUAUUGGAAUACGCUUAAGCCAUGCGAGUCGAGAGUCUUAGGGACUCGGCGGACUGCUCAGUAACACGUGGAUAACCUACCCUCAGGAGGGGGAUAACCUCGAGAAAUUGAGACUAAUACCCCAUAGGUUCAACAUGCUGGAAUGCGGUUGAGCUCAAAAGCUCCGGCGCCUGAGGACGGGUCUGCGGCCUAUCAGGUUGUAGUGAGGGUAACGGCCUCACUAGCCAGCGACGGGUACGGGCCAUGGGAGUGGUAGCCCGGAGAUGGACUCUGAGACACGAGUCCAGGCCCUACGGGGCGCAGCAGGCGCGAAAACUUCACAAUGCGGGAAACCGCGAUGAGGGUAUCCCAAGUGCUGUUACAUUGUAGCAGCUUUUCACCAGCCUAAAUAGCUGGUGGAAUAAGGGCUGGGUAAGUCUGGUGCCAGCCGCCGCGGUAAUACCAGCAGCUCAAGUGGUGGUCGUUAUUAUUGAGCCUAAAGCGUCCGUAGCCGGACUGGUAAACCUCUGGGUAAAUCGGGGAGCUCAACUCUCCGACUUCCGGAGAGACUGCUAGUCUUGGGACUGGGAGAGGUCGGAGGAACUCUAGGGGUAGGGGUGAAAUCCUGUAAUCCUUAGAGGACCACCAGUGGCGAAGGCGUCCGACUAGAACGGGUCCGACGGUGAGGGACGAAGCCUAGGGGAACAAACCGGAUUAGAUACCCGGGUAGUCCUAGGUGUAAACGCUGCAGGCUUGGUGUUGGGGGUCUUACGAGGGCGCCCAGUGCCGGAGAGAAGUUGUUAACCUGCCGCUUGGGGAGUACGGUCGCAAGACUGAAACUUAAAGGAAUGGCGGGGGAGCACCGCAAACAGAUUUGC